Molecule: ribosomal RNA, 301 nt
Filed under: uncultured bacterium
Lineage: Bacteria
Description: partial 16S ribosomal RNA
Rfam family: Bacterial small subunit ribosomal RNA
Source: RNAcentral
CAGCCGCCGCGGGAAUACGUAGGUGGCAAGCGUUGUCCGGAUUUAUUGGGCGUAAAGCGAGCGCAGGCGGUUUCUUAAGUCUGAUGUGAAAGCCCCCGGCUCAACCGGGGAGGGUCAUUGGAAACUGGGAGACUUGAGUGCAGAAGAGGAGAGUGGAAUUCCAUGUGUAGCGGUGAAAUGCGUAGAUAUAUGGAGGAACACCAGUGGCGAAGGCGGCUCUCUGGUCUGUAACUGACGCUGAGGCUCGAAAGCGUGGGGAGCAAACAGGAUUAGAUACCCGCGUAGUCCCUGUCUCUUAUAC